This 2183-nucleotide ribosomal RNA is filed under the name Staphylococcus pseudintermedius. RNAcentral's name for it is "23S ribosomal RNA". It matches the Rfam family "Bacterial large subunit ribosomal RNA", at positions 870 to 2925 of the family's 2925-position model. The record is from RNAcentral. Lineage: Bacteria; Bacillati; Bacillota; Bacilli; Caryophanales; Staphylococcaceae.
UGAUGGGGGGGCUUGGCGGAUUCUUCCCACCGCUUGUCAUUUCAGCUGUGACAUCUAUCACAGGUACGAGUCAUUUCGCAUUCAUCUUGUUAUGUGUAUUCGGAUUAAUUGCACUUGUAACGAUGUUUAACUUAUCUAAACGUGAAAAAGCAGCCGCAAAUAAAGCGACUGUGUCAUAAUACUGACAAGUGAUUCAAAGUAGAACAUUGUUAUGAAUAAAAAGAGGACCGAGAGACGUCAUGUUUCUCAGUCCUCUUUUCGAUAAGGUCCAUAUUCGAAAGGGAAACAGCCCAGACCACCAGCUAAGGUCCCAAAAUAUAUGUUAAGUGGAAAAGGAUGUGGCGUUGCCCAGACAACUAGGAUGUUGGCUUAGAAGCAGCCAUCAUUUAAAGAGUGCGUAAUAGCUCACUAGUCGAGUGACACUGCGCCGAAAAUGUACCGGGGCUAAACAUAUUACCGAAGCUGUGGAUUGUCCUUUGGACAAUGGUAGGAGAGCGUUCUAAGGGCGUUGAAGCAUGAUCGCAAGGACAUGUGGAGCGCUUAGAAGUGAGAAUGCCGGUGUGAGUAGCGAAAGACGGGUGAGAAUCCCGUCCACCGAUUGACUAAGGUUUCCAGAGGAAGGCUCGUCCGCUCUGGGUUAGUCGGGUCCUAAGCUGAGGCCGACAGGCGUAGGCGAUGGAUAACAGGUUGAUAUUCCUGUACCACCAUUAUUCGUUUUAAGCGAUGGGGGGACGCAGUAGGAUAGGCGAAGCGUGCUGUUGGAGUGCACGUCCAAGCAGUGAGAUUGAGUGUUAGGCAAAUCCGGCACUCUUAAGAUUGAGCUGUGAUGGGGAGAGGAACUUGUUCCUCGAGUCGUUGAUUUCACACUGCCGAGAAAAGCCUCUAGCUAGAAUAACGGUGCCCGUACCGCAAACCGACACAGGUAGUCAAGAUGAGAAUUCUAAGGUGAGCGAGCGAACUCUCGUUAAGGAACUCGGCAAAAUGACCCCGUAACUUCGGGAGAAGGGGUGCUCUUUGAGGUUCACGCUUCGAAGAGCCGCAGUGAAUAGGCCCAAGCGACUGUUUAUCAAAAACACAGGUCUCUGCUAAACCGUAAGGUGACGUAUAGGGGCUGACGCCUGCCCGGUGCUGGAAGGUUAAGAGGAGUGGUUAGCGCAAGCGAAGCUACGAAUCGAAGCCCCAGUAAACGGCGGCCGUAACUAUAACGGUCCUAAGGUAGCGAAAUUCCUUGUCGGGUAAGUUCCGACCCGCACGAAAGGCGUAACGAUUUGGGCACUGUCUCAACGAGAGACUCGGUGAAAUCAUAGUACCGGUGAAGAUGCCGGUUACCCGCGACAGGACGGAAAGACCCCGUGGAGCUUUACUGUAGCCUGAUAUUGAAAUUCGGUACAGUUUGUACAGGAUAGGUAGGAGCCUUAGAAGCGUGAGCGCUAGCUUACGUGGAGGCAUUGGUGGGAUACUACCCUAAUUGUAUUGGAUUUCUAACCCGCAGCACUUAUCGUGCUGGGAGACAGUGUCAGGCGGGCAGUUUGACUGGGGCGGUCGCCUCCUAAAGAGUAACGGAGGCGCUCAAAGGUUCCCUCAGAAUGGUUGGAAAUCAUUCAUAGAGUGUAAAGGCAUAAGGGAGCUUGACUGCGAGACCUACAAGUCGAGCAGGGUCGAAAGACGGACUUAGUGAUCCGGUGGUUCCGCAUGGAAGGGCCAUCGCUCAACGGAUAAAAGCUACCCCGGGGAUAACAGGCUUAUCUCCCCCAAGAGUUCACAUCGACGGGGAGGUUUGGCACCUCGAUGUCGGCUCAUCGCAUCCUGGGGCUGUAGUCGGUCCCAAGGGUUGGGCUGUUCGCCCAUUAAAGCGGUACGCGAGCUGGGUUCAGAACGUCGUGAGACAGUUCGGUCCCUAUCCGUCGUGGGCGUAGGAAAUUUGAGAGGAGCUGUCCUUAGUACGAGAGGACCGGGAUGGACAUACCUCUGGUGUACCAGUUGUCGUGCCAACGGCAUAGCUGGGUAGCUAUGUAUGGACGGGAUAAGUGCUGAAAGCAUCUAAGCAUGAAGCCCCCCUCGAGAUGAGAUUUCCCAACUUCGGUUAUAAGAUCCCUCAAAGAUGAUGAGGUGAAUAGGUUCGAGGUGGAAGCGUAGCGAUACGUGGAGCUGACGAAUACUAAUCGAUCGAAGACUUAAUCAAC